This 301-nucleotide ribosomal RNA is filed under the name uncultured bacterium. Its description in RNAcentral is "partial 16S ribosomal RNA". It matches the Rfam family "Bacterial small subunit ribosomal RNA", at positions 509 to 807 of the family's 1533-position model. The record is from RNAcentral.
CAGCAGCCGCGGUAAUACGAAGGGGGCUAGCGUUGCUCGGAAUUACUGGGCGUAAAGGGAGCGUAGGCGGAUCGUUAAGUUGGGGGUGAAAGCCCGGGGCUCAACCUCGGAAUUGCCUUCAAUACUGGGUAUCUAGAGUAUGGUAGAGGUGAGUGGAAUUCCGAGUGUAGAGGUGAAAUUCGUAGAUAUUCGGAGGAACACCAGUGGCGAAGGCGGCUCACUGGACCAUUACUGACGCUGAGGUGCGAAAGCGUGGGGAGCAAACAGGAUUAGAUACCCGCGUAGUCCCUGUCUCUUAUAC